Molecule: long non-coding RNA, 620 nt
Organism: Oxyura jamaicensis (ruddy duck)
Lineage: Eukaryota; Metazoa; Chordata; Aves; Anseriformes; Anatidae
Exons: 3
Source: RefSeq, a predicted model, not a curated record
UCACACUUCCUGAAGAAAUUUUGUUUUAUUCUUUUAAGAGUUAUCUACCACGUAUUAAGUUAUCUGAAGAGAGCUAAUCUCCCCUGUAAACAAAGCAAGGCAACUUCUGUGUGCUUGAUCUUGCAAAAUUAGCUGGCACUUGCUAUGCAUAAACCAGAGGUCUUGUUUCUGUGUCAUUUGAUGAAGAUAUCAUCUGAUUUGCUUACCAGCAAGGGUAGAGAGAUGAGACUUGACAUUAAAUUCCACUUACUCAAAGAAUACAUCUAUCAGAAGUCAGGAUUCCUGUCACAAUGGACAAGCACUGCAAAGUUCUAGGACUGGUGGAGUGCUGAUAUAUACAGAUGGCUCCUUUCACCAUCCCUCUACCAUACUUGACCAUAAUAAUCUACUUUAUCAAAUGGAAAUAGCCAGAGCACAGAAACAUAAUGCUCUGUAUUGCUAUGUCAUCUCUGUCUCUUGGAGUUGAUGAAAUUUGUGUCUGGAUAAAGAAAAUAUUUUGCUUCUUGGAGUGCUGCAGGAAUGUUGAAAUAUCAUCACAAAACGUAAGUGUCUGGAGACCUAAUUGCAUCCUCACCAUAUUUGUUGGAAGCCAUUUUGCAGAAUUUUUUAGAGCUUUUUUU